RNAcentral lists this long non-coding RNA (3763 nucleotides) under Sinocyclocheilus anshuiensis. Its description in RNAcentral is "lncRNA (ENSSANG00000022782.1)". Lineage: Eukaryota; Metazoa; Chordata; Actinopteri; Cypriniformes; Cyprinidae. The record is from RNAcentral.
GUUGAACUUGCUAAUGUACAUUAUUCAGAUGUCAUGUCAAAAGUCACUGUAAUUAAAGUGUUUGGGUGCAGCUUCGUGUUGAACUGCCUCACCCAUCAUCACCAUCAUCAUCAUCAUCAUCAUCAUCACUAGUGUGAGAUCAUCCAGACAAACACGAAAUCCCUCAUUUCUCUUUACCACAGAGGAAUGCUACACAUUAAAACGGUUCAGCACAUGCUAGAGUGCCCACGCCCACAUCUCAACAUCCAAUCAACGACCGGUGGAUAGAACCAAGUCCUGCCUUUUUCGAUAACCAUUAAAAUGGAAUCGGAUCUGGUCAGGGAGGGUUGUCAUUCUUCCAGGCUCUGCAGGAAUAGCACAUUUGUGUGCAUAAAGCAGGGAAAAUGAGUACGGGGAAGCCGAGUGGUCUCAAACCACCCACCAAGAUUGGUAAACCAGCUGCGAUGCCAACCAAAACCUCGCCCACCUCAGCUGGCGCCAAGGCUGUAACAUCCCCAACCUCUAAUACGGCCCAAGAUGCUGCGUCAGAUUUCUCUGUUGGCGAACGAGUUUGGGUCAAUGGAAAUAAACCGGGUUAUGUGCAGUUCAUCGGAGGGACCCAGUUUGCACCGGGCCAAUGGGCGGGAAUAGUUCUAGACGAGCCCAUUGGGAAGAACGAUGGCUCUGUGGCCGGAGUGCGCUACUUCCAGUGUGAGGACUUGAGAGGUAUAUUUACUCGGCCCUCCAAACUGUCCCACACUCCCGUGCCAGAGCGUGAGGCCAAUGGCACACAGACGCCCACCAACAAGACAUCCACCUCCCCUGCCAAAGAUCCCGUUCCUGUCACUCAAACCAUUAGUGCAACUACCAAGACCUCAACAAACCUAACCAGGGCCGCCAGCGAGUCUGCAUCCAAUCUGUCUGAGACGGAUUCGGCCAAGAAGUUGCAGCGGGAACUGAAGUUGGGUCAUCGUGUUCUGGUUGGUGGAACCAAGGCAGGUGUUGUGCGUUUCCUGGGCGAAACUGACUUUGCGAAAGGUGAUUGGUGUGGUGUUGAGUUGGAUGAGCCUCUUGGCAAGAAUGAUGGGGCAGUGGCUGGUGCAAGAUAUUUCCAGUGCCUACCAAAGUAUGGACUGUUCGCUCCUACUCACAAAGUCACCCGCAUUGGAUUCCCGUCCACCACUCCUGCUAAAUCCAAAUCCUCCAGGCGCAGGUCGACCCUAAAGAACAGCCCCAGCGCGUCCUCCAUCAGCUCCCUCAGCUCUGUCACCUCCUCAGUUGGAGGCAAACCCAGCCGAGCAGGCCUGCUCACAGAGACGUCGGCUCAGUAUGCGCGGAAGAUCUCAGGCACCACGGCCCUGCAGGAGGCCCUGAAGGAGAAGCAGCAGCACAUCGAGCAGCUCCUGGCCGAGCGGGACCUGGAGAGGACGGAAGUGGCACGAGCCACAAGUCAUGCCGGAGAGGUGCAGCAAGAGCUGGCGCUGCUCAGACAGGGCCAGGAACAGUAUGCUCUGGAGACGGAAGCCAAGUUGGACCAGUUGCGGAGACUCGUGGAGACUGCAGACAGAGAUAAAGUGGAGCUGAUGAAUCAACUGGAAGAGGAAAAAAGAAAAGUGGAGGACCUGCAGUUCCGUGUAGAGGAAGCUUGCAUUACCAAAGGUGACCUAGAGGUGGCCACAGUGUCCGAGCGCUCCAGAAUCAUGGAGCUGGAAAAGGAGGUGUCCGAUUUGCAUCUUCAGCUGAGAACUCUCCGGGCUGAGACCGCGGGAUCAGCCUCACCUCCAUUACAAGACAAAAAGAUCAAGGAGCUGAACUUUGAAUUGGAAAACAGACAGAAGGAAGUGCUCAUAUUCCAGCAGAAACUCGCCUCCUCUGAACAGGAGAAAACAUCCCUCCAGCAGCAGCUGCAAGAUCUGAAGCAGAAACUUGACACAGCAGUGGAGGACAAUAAUAAAGCAACACUAGCCAUGCAAGAAACGGAAAGGAACAUUAAAAUGCAGAGAGAGAAGCUGGAUCAGGUGUCCAGGGAGAAGGAGGACCUGCAGAGGGAUGUGGCCAUCCAGCAGCAGCAGAAACAGGCGAAGGGUGAAGAGAGAGAGCUUCAGAUGAAGGAGCUGAAGGAGAAGUUGGGCCGAGCAGAAGGAGAGCUGAAAAAAAUCACAGAGAGAAGUGCUGAGCUGGAACAGCAGGUGGUGGAACUGAAAGCCUUCAAAGACCAAACCCAGAGUUUACAGUCUGAUGAAAAGCUGGAGCAGAUGACAGAGAGGAAUAAGAAGUUGCAGGAGGAGCUUGAGGCCCUGAAGCAGCAGAACUCUCAGUAUCAGGAGCAGCUGAGUUCAGAAACGCAGAGCAUCGACAGCCUCCGCAAAGAAAUUGAGGAGCUAAAACUGUCAGCCAAUCAGAAGUCUCGGAGGCAGGUGUCACUCCAGGACGAGAAAGGGACGUUGGCUCAGGAGUUGGAUGUCCACGCACAGCAGAAGCUUGGCAGCGAAGCUCUGACUAGCCCGCUGGAGAUUACAGAGAGUGAGAACUCCAAUGCAAUGAUGUCUGAUAAAGACAAAGAGCUAGAGACACUACGAAAUGAGAUUGCAGUGCUUCGUGUGGAAAAUGCCAUGGCCAAGACACUCCAGUCAGCUGUGACGUCUCUAGAGAGGGACAAAGCCCAGCUGCAGAGCCGAGUGAACAGCCUGGAGCAAAAGCUGGAGGUCCGGCAGACGGGGAAUGGAGAGGAAGUCAGUUCAGGUGAUGCUGCUAUAGACCAACUGAGACAAGAGAAAGAGUUUGCUGAGGGACAGAUCAACUUCCUGAACUCAGUCAUUCUGGACCUCCAGAGGAAGAAUGAAGAACUAAAGGUGAAGCUGAAGAAAAUGGCAUUGACCGAGUUCAACGGAAAUGAUGAAAAUGAUGGUCUUGGUGAGGUCAAAAAGAAGAAGAAAGCCCCACCACGCGUUUUCUGCGACAUCUGUGACUGCUUUGACCUGCACGACACGGAGGACUGUCCCACUCAAAUGCAAUCCCCAGACUCACCUCCACACACCACAUACCACGGGAGCCGCAGCGGCGAACGACCAUACUGCGACAUCUGUGAAGCGUUCGGUCACUGGACAGACUCUUGCAACGAUGACCAAACCUUCUGAACUUCCCCUCAACCCCUCGGCCUAUGAGCAGGCUAUGCACAGUUCGCUUUCAACCAGAUUAUACGCUAUUUUUGUACACAGCAUAUAUACAUUCGAACCUCUUGUACAUUCCCUAAAUGAAUCCGCCCAAAUGAAGGCUAAGGUAAGCUGCAUUUAUGGAAAUGUAAUGUUAUGAAGGCGAGAUAUAUUUCUGUGUUAUCAACACUGUUUUGUGUGUUUCGUAUGUUUUUCACUGUCCUGUGUUGAUUUAUCUAAUGAUGACUUACCAGCAAGAAAAUUGGGAACGGUUUAGCGAUACUUUGCAGUGUAUUUAAAGUUGCUGUGUGUAAUUUCUAUUGGCACAAAAUGGAAUUGCAAAAUAAUGACUGUUUCCAAACAGGUUUUCCUCUCUCUACUAUUGUAGCUCCACCCCAAAGUCAACCCAUUGGUUGAGUCAGAAGCUGACAUUUCAGGGCACUCAAACAAACAGCAAUCUUUUGAAAGCUCCACAAAGCUGUAGCCAGUGUUCGGAUUGGUAUACUAGCACACUGCGUACUGCACACUAGUCAGUAUACACUGAAUACGGCCCACUAUUUUUUAGAUAGCAUGUGAAAUGGUACGCAUUAUGCAACAAUAAAAAUUAAGCUACAUUUUGUUAAAAAUUAUAG